Molecule: ribosomal RNA, 820 nt
Filed under: uncultured marine bacterium
Lineage: Bacteria
Description: bacterial SSU rRNA
Rfam family: Bacterial small subunit ribosomal RNA
Source: RNAcentral
UGCAAGUUGAGCGAAGCUUUUUGGUAGUUUACUACUAGAAAUGACUGAGCGGCGAAAGGGUGAGUAACGCGUGAGCAAUCUACCUUAGUUACUGGGAUAGCCCGAGGAAACUCGGAUUAAUACCGGAUAUUCUUAUUUUUUCACAUGAAGUUUUAAGGAAAGGUCAGCCGAACUAAGAUGAGCUCGCGUUCUAUCAGCUAGUUGGUGGGGUAAAAGCCUACCAAGGCUACGACGGAUAGCUGGUCUGAGAGGACGAUCAGCCACACUGGGACUGAGACACGGCCCAGACUCCUACGGGAGGCUGCAGCAGGGAAUAUUGUGCAAUGAGCGAAAGCUUGACACAGCGACACCGCGUGUGGGAUGACGGUUCUAGGAUUGUAAACCACUUUCAGGAGGGAAGAAAAUGACGGUACCUCCACAAGAAGACCCGGCCAACUAUGUGCCAGCAGCCGCGGUAAUACAUAGGGGUCAAGCGUUGUCCGGAUUUAUUGGGCGUAAAGAGCUCGUAGGCGGUUCAACAAGUCGGUCGUAAAAGUUUAGGGCUCAACCCUAAAAUGUCGAUCGAUACUGUUGUGACUAGGAUACGGUAGAGGUGAAUGGAAUUCCGAGUGUAGCGGUGAAAUGCGUAGAUAUUCGGAGGAACACCAAUUGCGAAGGCAGUUCACUGGACCGUGAUCGACGCUGAGGAGCGAAAGCUAGGGGAGCAAACAGGAUUAGAUACCCUGGUAGUCCUAGCUGUAAACGAUGGAUACUAGAUGUAGGAACUGGAUUGACGGUUUCUGUAUCGUAGCUAACGCGUUAAGUAUCCCGCCUGGGAGUA